GUCUGCAGCCAUGCCACCCUGAACAAGCUCAAUCCCAUCUGAUCUCAGAAGCUAAGCAGGGUCGGGCCUGGUUGGUACUUGGAUGGGAGACCACCUAGGAAGACCAGGUGCUAUAGGGG
RNAcentral lists this ribosomal RNA (119 nucleotides) under Pteropus alecto (black flying fox). Lineage: Eukaryota; Metazoa; Chordata; Mammalia; Chiroptera; Pteropodidae. The record is from RNAcentral.